RNAcentral lists this ribosomal RNA (512 nucleotides) under uncultured bacterium. RNAcentral describes it as "partial 16S ribosomal RNA". It matches the Rfam family "Bacterial small subunit ribosomal RNA", at positions 28 to 507 of the family's 1533-position model. The record is from RNAcentral.
GAUGAACGCUGGCGGCGUGCCUAAUACAUGCAAGUCGAACGAAACUUCUUUAUCACCGAGUGCUUGCACUCACCGAUAAAGAGUUGAGUGGCGAACGGGUGAGUAACACGUGGGCAGCCUGCCCAAAAGAGGGGGAUAACACUUGGAAACAGGUGCUAAUACCGCAUAACCAUAGUUACCGCAUGGUAACUAUGUAAAAGGUGGCUAUACUACCGCUUUUGGAUGGGCCCGCGGCGCAUUAGCUAGUUGGUAGGGUAAAGGCUUACCAAGGCAAUGAUGCGUAGCCGAAUUGAGAGGUUGAUCGGCCACAUUGGGACUGAGACACGGCCCAAACUCCUACGGGAGGCAGCAGUAGGGAAUCUUCCACAAUGGGCGAAAGCCUGAUGGAGCAACGCCGCGUGGGUGAAGAAGGUCUUCGGAUCGUAAAACCCUGUUGUUAGAGAAGAAAGUGCGUGAGAGUAACUGUUCACGUUUCGACGGUAUCUAACCGGAAAGCCACGGCUAACUACGUG